RNAcentral lists this ribosomal RNA (467 nucleotides) under uncultured bacterium. RNAcentral describes it as "partial 16S ribosomal RNA". It matches the Rfam family "Bacterial small subunit ribosomal RNA", at positions 28 to 507 of the family's 1533-position model. The record is from RNAcentral.
GACGAACGCUGGCGGCGUGCUUAACACAUGCAAGUCGAACGGAAAGGCCUCUUUCGGGGGGUACUCGAGUGGCGAACGGGUGAGUAACACGUGAGUAACCUGCCCUUGACUUUGGGAUAACUUCAGGAAACUGGGGCUAAUACCGGAUAGGAGCUCCUGCUGCAUGGUGGGGGUUGGAAAGUUUCGGCGGUUGGGGAUGGACUGGCGGCUUAUCAGCUUGUUGGUGGGGUAGUGGCUUACCAAGGCGUUGACGGGUAGCCGGCCUGAGAGGGUGACCGGCCACAUUGGGACUGAGAUACGGCCCAGACUCCUACGGGAGGCAGCAGUGGGGAAUAUUGCACAAUGGGUGGAAGCCUGAUGCAGCAACGCCGUGUGCGGGAUGACGGCCUUCGGGUUGUAAACCGCUUUCGCUCAUGACGAAGCUUUGUGUGACGGUAGUGGGUAAAGAAGCACCGGCUAACUACGUG